Long non-coding RNA from Armigeres subalbatus, 494 nucleotides. RefSeq lists it as uncharacterized. The transcript is spliced from 4 exons. Lineage: Eukaryota; Metazoa; Arthropoda; Insecta; Diptera; Culicidae. The record is from RefSeq and is a predicted model, not a curated record.
UCUGUCAGAGUCAACUGACACAGCAUUUCUAUUGUUCGAUAUGUUUAUGUUUAUGCUGUGCAGUAAUGGAAAAUAACGAAGUUAAAAGUGGCCUUUUUAGUGAAUAAAUCGGUUGAAUGAAUUCAUUCAGGUGGGUUGCUGUGCUAUGUGGCAACAAUCUUUACGGCGAAAGAUUGUCCCAUAGCAAACCCAUAACGGUCCCGGGACACCGUGAUAAUCAUCUUGCCUCUGCAAGAUGCAAUCAGAUUUGGCCAAAUAAAGCAAAUGGGCGAUCCCCUCCCAACAUCUCCAUAGGUGGAGAAAGAUGAGGGAAAUUUCAUUAACCCCUCGCCUCCUUCUCCGAUCCUACCAGUGCUGGUAUGGAUCCCCGUAAUAAAUCAGGUGUUCAUCCUUUCGGCGGUGAUUGCACCAAGUGACUGGGGGCAAAAAGUAAUCCCGCACAGCACCGGGAAGUGGACAAUCUGCCGUAGGUAACAAAAUAGAAAAGAUUGAGA